GUGACUUUAGUUUAUUAUGAUAGAAUAUUGGUUUGUCUAACCAGAGGGGGCGUUGAGCUGAGUUACU
Molecule: transfer RNA, 67 nt
Filed under: Spirometra theileri
Lineage: Eukaryota; Metazoa; Platyhelminthes; Cestoda; Diphyllobothriidea; Diphyllobothriidae
Description: tRNA-Asp
Source: RNAcentral